GCUACCUAUGAAAGUUUAAUCUGUGUGUGAAGUAAUUGUAAAUAAAGCAGGGUACUUUUUCACUCAAGUUAAAAUAGUUAAUUCUCUGUUUUCUUAUUUGAUGUUCUGUGCGUUGAAGUACGAAAUUGUUUGAAUGAUUACUAUUUAGCCAUUAGAACAUAUUGUGCGGUGUAUCGUAGCUGGUAUUUCGUCAGUAUAAAGCGGAAAAAAUUCUUCUCUGGCACUAGUAAUCUGCAUAGAUCAUGGAUCUGAAAAGUUGCUGGAAUAGGCUUGCUAAAACAUUUCCUCACUGUGCUUGUUAUGCUGACAAGAACAGCAACAAAUGCAAAUUGUUGAGCUAAAUUGUAUGUUAUGAUUGCUAAAAAAAAGGGUAUCGACCGGGUAUAUCGAUUUCAUCAUGUGAAAUGAAAUAAACGAUGCACAAAGAAACGUGAAAUAAACGAUGCAUAACAUAGAUUGAACGACUCAGAAUCGAUCCAACGAAAACUGCUCGGCAAUAAACUUCGUUCUCCCAAGUGUGAACCCUACAACUAAACGAGUAAUUCUGAGGACUGCUUCUGUACCCGUUGCUUUUAUCGAUUGUAAUUCAAUGCAUGCCUCCAAUUUGUUUACUUAUAUAUUUUUGUAUUUAAUAAAUUUAUUCAUCUGACAAUAAAA
This is a long non-coding RNA of Malaya genurostris, 657 nucleotides long. RefSeq lists it as uncharacterized. Lineage: Eukaryota; Metazoa; Arthropoda; Insecta; Diptera; Culicidae. The transcript is spliced from 3 exons. The record is from RefSeq and is a predicted model, not a curated record.